GGCUGGUCCGACGGCAGUGGGUUAUCAGAACUUAUUAACAUUAGUGUCACUAAAGUUGGUAUACCACCCCCGCCCACUGCUAAAUUUGACUGGCAAAA
Cavia aperea (Brazilian guinea pig) is the source of this 98-nucleotide unclassified non-coding RNA. It matches the Rfam family "Y RNA". From Rfam's summary of the family: Y RNAs are components of the Ro ribonucleoprotein particle (Ro RNP), in association with Ro60 and La proteins. The Y RNAs and Ro60 and La proteins are well conserved, but the function of the Ro RNP is not known. Lineage: Eukaryota; Metazoa; Chordata; Mammalia; Rodentia; Caviidae. The record is from Ensembl.